RNAcentral lists this ribosomal RNA (468 nucleotides) under uncultured bacterium. RNAcentral describes it as "partial 16S ribosomal RNA". It matches the Rfam family "Bacterial small subunit ribosomal RNA", at positions 28 to 507 of the family's 1533-position model. The record is from RNAcentral.
GACGAACGCUGGCGGCGUGCUUAACACAUGCAAGUCGAACGGAAAGGCCCUGCUUUUGUGGGGUGCUCGAGUGGCGAACGGGUGAGUAACACGUGAGUAACCUGCCCUUGACUUUGGGAUAACUUCAGGAAACUGGGGCUAAUACCGGAUAGGAGCUCCUGCUGCAUGGUGGGGGUUGGAAAGUUUCGGCGGUUGGGGAUGGACUCGCGGCUUAUCAGCUUGUUGGUGGGGUAGUGGCUUACCAAGGCUUUGACGGGUAGCCGGCCUGAGAGGGUGACCGGCCACAUUGGGACUGAGAUACGGCCCAGACUCCUACGGGAGGCAGAAGUGGGGAAUAUUGCACGAUGGGCGGAAGCCUGAUGCAGCAACGCCGCGUGCGGGAUGACGGCCUUCGGGUUGUAAACCGCUUUCGCCUGUAACGAAGCGUGAGUGACGGUAAUGGGUAAAGAAGCACCGGCUAACUACGUG